AUUGAACGCUGGCGGCAGGCCUAACACAUGCAAGUCGAGCGGAUGAAGGGAGCUUGCUCCUGGAUUCAGCGGCGGACGGGUGAGUAAUGCCUAGGAAUCUGCCUGGUAGUGGGGGAUAACGUCCGGAAACGGGCGCUAAUACCGCAUACGUCCUGAGGGAGAAAGUGGGGGAUCUUCGGACCUCACGCUAUCAGAUGAGCCUAGGUCGGAUUAGCUAGUUGGUGGGGUAAAGGCCUACCAAGGCGACGAUCCGUAACUGGUCUGGGAGGAUGAUCAGUCACACUGGAACUGAGACACGGUCCAGACUCCUACGGGAGGCAGCAGUGGGGAAUAUUGGACAAUGGGCGAAAGCCUGAUCCAGCCAUGCCGCGUGUGUGAAGAAGGUCUUCGGAUUGUAAAGCACUUUAAGUUGGGAGGAAGGGCAGUAAGUUAAUACCUUGCUGUUUUGACGUUACCAACAGAAUAAGCUCCGGCUAACUUCGUG
This 484-nucleotide ribosomal RNA is filed under the name uncultured bacterium. Its description in RNAcentral is "partial 16S ribosomal RNA". It matches the Rfam family "Bacterial small subunit ribosomal RNA", at positions 30 to 507 of the family's 1533-position model. The record is from RNAcentral.